RNAcentral lists this ribosomal RNA (253 nucleotides) under uncultured bacterium. RNAcentral describes it as "partial 16S ribosomal RNA". It matches the Rfam family "Bacterial small subunit ribosomal RNA", at positions 524 to 776 of the family's 1533-position model. The record is from RNAcentral.
UACGUAGGGGGCAAGCGUUGUCCGGAUUUAUUGGGCGUAAAGAGCGUGUAGGCGGCCAUACAGGUCAGCUGUGAAAACUCGAGGCUCAACCUCGAGACGUCGGUUGAAACCGUAUGGCUAGAGUCCGGAAGAGGAGAGUGGAAUUCCCGGUGUAGCGGUGAAAUGCGCAGAUAUCGGGAAGAACACCCGUGGCGAAGGCGGCUCUCUGGGACGGUACUGACGCUGAGACGCGAAAGCGUGGGUAGCAAACAGG